This 448-nucleotide ribosomal RNA is filed under the name uncultured bacterium. RNAcentral describes it as "bacterial SSU rRNA". It matches the Rfam family "Bacterial small subunit ribosomal RNA", at positions 329 to 794 of the family's 1533-position model. The record is from RNAcentral.
AGCCAGACUCCUACGGGAGGCAGCAGUGGGGAAUAUUGCACAAUGGGGGAAACCCUGAUGCAGCGACGCCGCGUGAGUGAAGAAGUAUUUCGGUAUGUAAAGCUCUAUCAGCAGGGAAGAAAAUGACGGUACCUGACUAAGAAGCCCCGGCUAACUACGUGCCAGCAGCCGCGGUAAUACGUAGGGGGCAAGCGUUAUCCGGAUUUACUGGGUGUAAAGGGAGCGUAGACGGCAUGGCAAGUCAGAUGUGAAAGCCCGGGGCUCAACCCCGGGACUGCAUUUGAAACUGUCAGGCUGGAGUGCAGGAGAGGUAAGUGGAAUUCCUAGUGUAGCGGUGAAAUGCGUAGAUAUUAGGAGGAACACCAGUGGCGAAGGCGGCUUACUGGACUGUAACUGACGUUGAGGCUCGAAAGCGUGGGGAGCAAACAGGAUUAGAUACCCCUGUAUA